Molecule: non-coding RNA, 28 nt
Filed under: Homo sapiens (human)
Lineage: Eukaryota; Metazoa; Chordata; Mammalia; Primates; Hominidae
Source: RNAcentral
UGCAGUGCCAGACACUACCUGUGUCAGU